RNAcentral lists this ribosomal RNA (862 nucleotides) under uncultured Sphingomonas sp. RNAcentral describes it as "bacterial SSU rRNA". It matches the Rfam family "Bacterial small subunit ribosomal RNA", at positions 8 to 916 of the family's 1533-position model. Lineage: Bacteria; Pseudomonadati; Pseudomonadota; Alphaproteobacteria; Sphingomonadales; Sphingomonadaceae. The record is from RNAcentral.
AGAGUUUGAUCCUGGCUCAGAAUGAACGCUGGCGGCAUGCCUAACACAUGCAAGUCGAACGAAGGCUUCGGCCUUAGUGGCGCACGGGUGCGUAACGCGUGGGAAUCUGCCCUCAGGUUCGGAAUAACAGCGAGAAAUUGCUGCUAAUACCGGAUGAUAUCGCGAGAUCAAAGAUUUAUCGCCUGAGGAUGAGCCCGCGUAGGAUUAGCUAGUUGGUGUGGUAAAGGCGCACCAAGGCGACGAUCCUUAGCUGGUCUGAGAGGAUGAUCAGCCACACUGGGACUGAGACACGGCCCAGACUCCUACGGGAGGCAGCAGUGGGGAAUAUUGGACAAUGGGCGGAAGCCUGAUCCAGCAAUGCCGCGUGAGUGAUGAAGGCCUUAGGGUUGUAAAGCUCUUUUACCCGGGAUGAUAAUGACAGUACCGGGAGAAUAAGCUCCGGCUAACUCCGUGCCAGCAGCCGCGGUAAUACGGAGGGAGCUAGCGUUAUUCGGAAUUACUGGGCGUAAAGCGCACGUAGGCGGCUUUGUAAGUUAGAGGUGAAAGCCUGGAGCUCAACUCCAGAAUUGCCUUUAAGACUGCAUCGCUUGGAUCCAGGAGAGGUGAGUGGAAUUCCGAGUGUAGAGGUGAAAUUCGUAGAUAUUCGGAAGAACACCAGUGGCGAAGGCGGCUCACUGGACUGGUAUUGACGCUGAGGUGCGAAAGCGUGGGGAGCAACCAGGAUUAGAUACCCUGGUAGUCCACGCCGUAAACGAUGAUAACUAGCUGUCGGGGCUCUUAGAGCUUCGGUGGCGCAGCUAACGCAUUAAGUUAUCCGCCUGGGGAGUACGGCCGCAAGGUUAAAACUCAAAGGAAUUGACGG